Molecule: ribosomal RNA, 460 nt
Filed under: uncultured bacterium
Lineage: Bacteria
Description: partial 16S ribosomal RNA
Rfam family: Bacterial small subunit ribosomal RNA
Source: RNAcentral
CCUACGGGAGGCAGCAGUGAGGAAUAUUGGUCAAUGGGCGUAAGCCUGAACCAGCCAAGUCGCGUGAGGGAUGAAGGUUCUAUGGAUCGUAAACCUCUUUUAUAAGGGAAUAAAGUGUGGGACGUGUCCUGUUUUGUAUGUACCUUAUGAAUAAGGAUCGGCUAACUCCGUGCCAGCAGCCGCGGUAAUACGGAGGAUCCGAGCGUUAUCCGGAUUUAUUGGGUUUAAAGGGUGCGUAGGCGGCCUUUUAAGUCAGCGGUGAAAGUCUGUGGCUCAACCAUAGAAUUGCCGUUGAAACUGGGAGGCUUGAGUAUGUUUGAGGCAGGCGGAAUGCGUGGUGUAGCCGUGAAAUGCUUAGAUCUCCCGCAGAACCCCGAUUGCGAAGGCAGCCUGCCAAGCCAUGACUGACGCUGAUGCACGAAAGCGUGGGGAUCAAACAGGAUUAGAUACCCGAGUAGUC